CUGAAUAAAAAUUUAAGUGAGAUUGAUGCUGGCUUUUCUUUAUAAAAAAGCAAGUGCACAUCUUGCCUCAAUUUUUUAAACCAUGUGCACUUUGCAUAAAUUUGAAAACAUUCAGAAAUAUAUUUUUUGAUUAUAAUAAGAAAUAAGAAUAUAAUUUUAGUUGUGUAUUGUGUUCGAUUCAAUCUUGAAAAGAAGGCGUCAGCUUUGGCACAGAUAAAUUGGGGUAACCUGAUCUGAAUUGACGUUGUAUACUUCUGGUUGACGAAGCAAGGCAUGUUCUCUUUGGAGAUAUGUUCACAAGAUCAAGUUGGUGUUUUAUAUUUUUGUUUUAUUUGCUGCAGGAGAAUAUUUUUCUUGUAGACAAUUGAGUGAUGAUAUAUACACUGCUAGGUCAUAUUCCUAUACCAACUGUAAAUCUGUUCUUAUUCAGAAUUGCAUGCUACUAUGUAGCUUUGACAGGUUUUGGAAAAACCAUGAUCUGGAUAUAUAUAUGCAUUUUUGUUUUAUUUCAAAAAGUAUUUUUCUGGUUUUUAGAACUGCUAUAUUUAAUAGCUGUUCUUAUAUUUCUUAAAUUUAUGCUUUACUUUAAUAUACUUUGUAAUAUUUAAAAAUAUAAAUGAUAUGUAUUGGGACUUUUUAAAUAAAAGUCUUUAAAUCUAAAACAACUUUCAACAACGGAUCUCUUGGCUCUCGCAUCGAUGAAGAACGCAGCGAAAUGCGAUAAGUAGUGUGAAUUGCAGAAUUCAGUGAAUCAUCGAAUUUUUGAACGCAUCUUGCGCUUUUUGAAACAUUUGUUUCAAGAAGCAUGUCUGUUUGAGUGUUGUUAAAUUCUCAGUUUGAACAUUGUUUUAUAAUAGUGUUUUAAAUUGGACUUUGGAAGUUGCUGGAUUAUAUAUAUAUUAAAUCAGCUCUUCUAAAAUUUAUUAGCAAAAUUCAGACUUUUGAAUUUCUCUAGUAUAAUAAUUUCUUGUACUAUUGAAUUCAGCCAUUUUAUUUAUAAAUUGGAUAGUUGUUUGUGCUAUAUAAUAUUAAUAAUUUAAUAUAUUCAACCUCAAAUCAGAUAGGACUACCCGCUGAACUUAAGCAUAUCAAUAAGCGGAGGAAAAGAAACUAACAAGGAUUCCCCUAGUAACUGCGAGUGAAGUGGGAUGAGCUCAAAUUUAAAAUCUGGCAGUUUUUAAUUGUCCGAAUUGUAAUCUAGAGAAGUGUUAUCUGUGCUGGACCGUGUACAAGUCUCC
This 1238-nucleotide unclassified non-coding RNA is filed under the name Entoloma dysthales. RNAcentral describes it as "sequence contains ITS1, 5.8S rRNA gene and ITS2". The stretch from base 664 to 823 matches the Rfam family "5.8S ribosomal RNA". Lineage: Eukaryota; Fungi; Basidiomycota; Agaricomycetes; Agaricales; Entolomataceae. The record is from RNAcentral.